AUCAACUUUCGAUGGUAGGAUAGAGGCCUACCAUGGUUUUAACGGGUAACGGGGAAUUAGGGUUCGAUUCGGAGAGGGAGCCUGAGAAACGGCUACCACAUCCAAGGAAGGCAGCAGGCGCGCAAAUUACCCGAUCCCGAUACGGGGAGGUAGUGACAAUAAAUAACAAUACAGGGCUUUAUAGUCUUGUAAUUGGAAUGAGUACAAUUUAAAUCUCUUAACGAGGAACAAUUGGAGGGCAAGUCUGGUGCCAGCAGCCGCGGUAAUUCCAGCUCCAAUAGCGUAUAUUAAAGUUGUUGCAGUUAAAAAGCUCGUAGUUGAAUUUCGGGAUUGACGUGAUGGUCGUGCCUUAAGGGGUAUGAACUGUUGCUGUUGAUUUCUCACCUUCUGGAGAAACUUGAUGUCCUUAAUUGGGUGUCUUGCGGAUCCAGGACCUUUACCUUGAAAAAAUUAGAGUGUUUAAAGCAGGCAUUUUGCUCGAAUACAUUAGCAUGGAAUAAUAGAAUAGGACGGCAUGGUUCUAUUUUGUUGGUUUCUAGGAACACCGUAAUGAUUAAUAGGGAUAGUUGGGGGCAUUAGUAUUCAAUUGUCAGAGGUGAAAUUCUUGGAUUUAUUGAGGACUAACUACUGCGAAAGCAUUUGCCAAGGAUUUUUCAUUAAUCAAGAACGAAAGUUAGGGGAUCGAAGACGAUCAGAUACCGUCGUAGUCUUAACCAUAAACUAUGCCGACUAGGAAUCAGACGAUGUUAAUUUUUUAAUGACUCGUUUGGCACCUUACGGGAAACCAAAGUGUUUGGGUCC
RNAcentral lists this ribosomal RNA (801 nucleotides) under uncultured Glomeromycotina. RNAcentral describes it as "SSU rRNA". It matches the Rfam family "Eukaryotic small subunit ribosomal RNA", at positions 314 to 1114 of the family's 1831-position model. Lineage: Eukaryota; Fungi; Glomeromycota. The record is from RNAcentral.